This 505-nucleotide ribosomal RNA is filed under the name uncultured bacterium. RNAcentral describes it as "bacterial SSU rRNA". It matches the Rfam family "Bacterial small subunit ribosomal RNA", at positions 8 to 524 of the family's 1533-position model. The record is from RNAcentral.
AGAGUUUGAUCCUGGCUCAGGACGAACGCUGGCGGCGUGCUUAACACAUGCAAGUCGAACGCUGAAACCAGAGCUUGCUUUGGUGGAUGAGUGGCGAACGGGUGAGUAACACGUGGGUGAUCUGCCCUACACUUUGGGAUAAGCCUGGGAAACUGGGUCUAAUACCGAAUAUUCACACCACCGUAGGGGUGGUGUGGAAAGCUUUAUGCGGUGUGGGAUGAGCCUGCGGCCUAUCAGCUUGUUGGUGGGGUAAUGGCCUACCAAGGCGUCGACGGGUAGCCGGCCUGAGAGGGUGUACGGCCACAUUGGGACUGAGACACGGCCCAGACUCCUACGGGAGGCAGCAGUGGGGAAUAUUGCACAAUGGGCGCAAGCCUGAUGCAGCGACGCCGCGUGGGGGAUGACGGCCUUCGGGUUGUAAACUCCUUUCGCUAGGGACGAAGCCUUUGGUGACGGUACCUGGAGAAGAAGCACCGGCUAACUACGUGCCAGCAGCCGCGGUAAU